This 465-nucleotide ribosomal RNA is filed under the name Vreelandella stevensii. Its description in RNAcentral is "partial 16S ribosomal RNA". It matches the Rfam family "Bacterial small subunit ribosomal RNA", at positions 338 to 795 of the family's 1533-position model. Lineage: Bacteria; Pseudomonadati; Pseudomonadota; Gammaproteobacteria; Oceanospirillales; Halomonadaceae. The record is from RNAcentral.
CCUACGGGUGGCAGCAGUGGGGAAUAUUGGACAAUGGGGGCAACCCUGAUCCAGCCAUGCCGCGUGUGUGAAGAAGGCCCUCGGGUUGUAAAGCACUUUCAGUGAGGAAGAACGCCUGGUGGUUAAUACCCAUCAGGAAAGACAUCACUCACAGAAGAAGCACCGGCUAACUCCGUGCCAGCAGCCGCGGUAAUACGGAGGGUGCGAGCGUUAAUCGGAAUUACUGGGCGUAAAGCGCGCGUAGGUGGCUUGAUAAGCCGGUUGUGAAAGCCCCGGGCUCAACCUGGGAACGGCAUCCGGAACUGUCAAGCUAGAGUGCAGGAGAGGAAGGUAGAAUUCCCGGUGUAGCGGUGAAAUGCGUAGAGAGCGGGAGGAAUACCAGUGGCGAAGGCGGCCUUCUGGACUGACACUGACACUGAGGUGCGAAAGCGUGGGUAGCAAACAGGAUUAGAUACCAGGGUAGUC